Long non-coding RNA from Amphiprion ocellaris (clown anemonefish), 367 nucleotides. The record is from Ensembl. Lineage: Eukaryota; Metazoa; Chordata; Actinopteri; Pomacentridae.
GAGCGGAUUGCGGUCGGCGGGUGAGUGCCGGCAGGUGAAGCGGAGUUCACGGCAGAACACGGAGAGACAGAAACACCUGAGCGGGACACAAACCGAGACGAGAGGUCGGAGACAGAAAGUGAUUAGAAAGCCAAGGUUGUCAGGAUGUUCCCUCCUUCUGCUGCCGUUUCUGACACCCAGAGAGGAACUGCAAUGAGAGAAGGAAUCUGAUGCAUCAAGAGGAAUUAUGAGUGUCUCCAAGGAACUGAGCAUUUCACUUCUUCAAAAUGCAUGUUUUGGUUCUGAGAAAGCAGCAGCACACCUUAAGGUUGCCGUCAGAUGCCACAAGUCAGCUGAUAAAAGAGUCCGGCCCGGCAGCAUUCCUUCC